GUUAAAAAGCUCGUAGUUGGAUUUCUGCAUGGAAGGAGCGGUCCACCCAUUGGGCGAGUUACUGCUACCUUUGGUGCAUCUUUCUGAGGACGUGUUCUUCACUUAAUUGUGAGGGCGCAGGACUCAGAACAUUUACUUUGAGGAAAUGAGAGUGUUUCAAGCAGGCAAAUGCCUUGAAUACGUUAGCAUGGAAUAAUAGCAUCGGACCAUCGUCCAGCUGUCGGUGUCUGGGCGAAGGUAAAGGUGAAUAGGGAUUGUUGGGGGCAUUCGUAUUUAACUGUCAGAGGUGAAAUUCUUGGAUUUGUUGAAGACGGACCACUGCGAAAGCAUCUGCCAAAGAUGUUCUCAUUGAUCAAGAACGAAAGUUAGGUGAUCGAAGACGAUCAGAUACCGUCCUAGUCUUAACCAUAAACUAUGCCGACUGGAGAUAGGAAGCGUUUAUCUUACGACUCUUUCUGCAUCUUGAGAGAAAUCAAAGUCUUUGGGUUCCGGGGGGAGUAUGGUCGCAAGGCUGAAACUUAAAGGAAUUGACGGAAGGGCACCACCAGGAGUGGAGCCUGCGGCUUAAUUUGACUCAACACGGGGAAACUUACCAGGUCCGGACAUAGGUAGGAUUGACAGACUGAGAGCUCUUUCUUGAUUCUAUGGGUGGUGGUGCAUGGCCGUUCUUAGUUGGUGGAGUGAUUUGUCUGGUUAAUUCCGUUAACGAACG
RNAcentral lists this ribosomal RNA (712 nucleotides) under uncultured marine alveolate. RNAcentral's name for it is "SSU rRNA". It matches the Rfam family "Eukaryotic small subunit ribosomal RNA", at positions 618 to 1337 of the family's 1831-position model. The record is from RNAcentral.